RNAcentral lists this ribosomal RNA (306 nucleotides) under Triticum aestivum (bread wheat). RNAcentral's name for it is "partial small subunit ribosomal RNA". Lineage: Eukaryota; Viridiplantae; Streptophyta; Magnoliopsida; Poales; Poaceae. The record is from RNAcentral.
AUGAGGAACUUGACAUCCAUGGGGUCUUCGAGGGUCGACGGUAGUGGUACUCGGUCGUUUCGAAGAGGUACUUGGGGUCUUCGAACUUGCCGAUCUCGUCAACUCGAAGGGGUACUUGGCAUUUCUGCUACCCGGGUCAUCGGCGACGGUAGUUGUUCUAUGCAUCAGGCGUCAAUGUACCUAUCGUUCUUAGCGAUUCCAAAGACGGCGGUAGACGAACAUGACGCGUCGUCGUGGUACUUGGCAAAAAUCUCAAAGAAGAUGCCUAACGGUCCCGGUUACAGGUCUAGGCGUCUCUCUUGCUGA